Long non-coding RNA from Ruditapes philippinarum (Manila clam), 234 nucleotides. RefSeq lists it as uncharacterized. The transcript has 3 exons. NCBI's taxonomy places the organism in Eukaryota, Metazoa, Mollusca, Bivalvia, Venerida, Veneridae. The record is from RefSeq and is a predicted model, not a curated record.
AUGGAAAAGGGCGGAUGAUUUCGAUCAAUCAAAUAAAAGAAGUUCUAGAAUGUUUAAGGAGCUACUGCGCAGAGUUGCAAAAGUUAGCUGGAUUGGAAAAGGGGAAGCAUGAGAAGAGACAGUUUAAUCACGAAGAGUUGCAAAGUUUUAGUGUAGAUGAUGUUAUGAUGGAGGAGAAGCAUAAUGCUGAAAAAAGAAGAUGAAGAAAUGGCAGAUUUGAUUUAUCAUGACGAG